RNAcentral lists this long non-coding RNA (484 nucleotides) under Oryctolagus cuniculus (rabbit). Its description in RNAcentral is "lncRNA (ENSOCUG00000032857.1)". The record is from RNAcentral. Lineage: Eukaryota; Metazoa; Chordata; Mammalia; Lagomorpha; Leporidae.
UUUCUACUUUUUCGGACUUGUUCUGCAGUUUCCUUUGGAUUAAUGCUUUACCUCUGAAUUUCUGCUGUUGUGGCUGACAUCCCGAACUUGUUCUUGUCCAAAUUCUACUCUUGGAGAACUGAGCUAGGGAGAUCUCAUCCUGACAUCUACUUUCAUGUCCAUAAGGACUGGGGAAAGACAUAGCAAGACGGCGCAAGCACAUGGCACUUUUGCUCAUACUUCUUUGCCCAAAUUUCUCUGAAUCUUGCUGAAUUCCGAAGGCAAGCACCAGCAGCUGCAGUAUGAAUCCCUGCUCUAGGCAGACCUGGAAUUCUGUGAAGUCAGAGCAGAAGUGAGAGAAGAUCUAUCCAGCUGUCCUACUGGGUCCCAGGUAACUCUGACAAAUUAGAAUCAGCUCUGCUCCUGACAGGACAUCCCAAGGAAUCUGAUUUCUAAAGCUCACACUGAUAAUAAACCUUUGUUCUAUAGAGAUGAUAAUUGUGUU